UCGACGUAAAAAAUGUGGACGGUUGAGAAGAAGUGUUAGGACUGAGUCAGUUUUCUCACAAUCACACUGCAGUCUAUUCACAUGGAUGAAGUAUAUACAUAGAUUUGCACAGGGUUUACGUCUACGGCAAGUAGACAUGCUUCAAGAUGGCAUUGCAAAGAGCACAGCAACUCUCUCCAUGAUGUCAAAGAAACUCAGAAGAGUUUGUUUAAAAAGCCUAAAAAAGCACCAAAAGAAAACGAAGCAAAGAGUUGGUGGAGUUAAUGUCCUUGUUCACAUUGAUGAGAGCAAGUUCUGCCACAAACGCAAGUAUGCAAGAGGACGCUUUGGUAACACCUGGAAGAGAAAGAGAUCAUGGGUGUUUGGUAUACUUGAGAUCAAAUCUGCAAGACGACGUCCCAUUCUUCGUCUUGUGAAGAAAAGAAACAAGGAGACCCUUGUUCCCAUC
Long non-coding RNA from Paramisgurnus dabryanus, 448 nucleotides. RefSeq lists it as uncharacterized. The record is from RefSeq and is a predicted model, not a curated record. Lineage: Eukaryota; Metazoa; Chordata; Actinopteri; Cypriniformes; Cobitidae.